GGAGGCUGGUGGGGAAGGAGCAGGGGAUGCCUUCAUGGGAGCUGCGCUAUCACAGUGGUGAGUCCUGAUGCCUUGCCUGUGAGGGCCUUCACAACCUUCAGAGCAUGAUGGCAUUGCCAGAGAGAAGAGAAUUCACCAUGGACACCUAGCCUAGUGCCUGGCAGAUGUUACUGUAUUGUGCUUGAGCCUACUCGCUAAUCACAAUUGGCCACUAGUAAUGACUGAAGAAGAAAAAAUGAAUUGACUUGAAAUCCCUUUGAUUGAAUGAUAGAGUUAUAAGAAGACACGAGGCAGAGGAAAACAAAGGAGGAGGAAAUGUGUAUGGCUUCAAGUUGACAAGGGGUGGACUUGUGAUCGUUAAUAUUGUCAACUUGAUUGGAUUGAAGGAUGCAAAGUAUUGUUCCUGGGUGUGUCUGCGAGGGUGUUGCCAAAGGAGAUUAACAUGUAAGUCAGUGGACUGAGAGAGGCAGACCCACCCUCAGUCUGGGUGGGCACCAUUCUCAACAGCCGCCAGCCUAAAAGCAGGAAUGGAAAGGGCAGACUUGCUGAGUCUUCCAGCUUCCAACUUUCUCCUGUGCUGGAUACUUCCUACCCUCGAACAUCUGACUCCAAGUUCUUCAGCUUUCGGACUCUUGGACUUACACCAGUAGUUUGCCAGGGGCUCUUGGGCCUUUGGCCACAGACUGAAAGCUGCAUUGUCAGCUUCCCUACUUCUGAGGUUUUGGGACUCGACUGGCUUUCUUGCUCCUCAGCUUGCAGACAGCCUAUUGUGGGACUUCACUUUGUGAUCCUGUGAGUCAAUUCUCCUAAUAAACUCCCCUUCAUAUAUACAUCUAUCCUAUUAGUCUGGUCCCUCUAGAGAACCCUGACUAAUACAAUAGAGUUAAAGACAAACUCCUUGUACUGCUUUAUCUCAGCUUACUGUAGAGGUCAUAAACCAGGGUCAACAGGCAGGAUUUGGCUCGCAGAUG
RNAcentral lists this long non-coding RNA (971 nucleotides) under Homo sapiens (human). RNAcentral's name for it is "HSALNT0052685". Lineage: Eukaryota; Metazoa; Chordata; Mammalia; Primates; Hominidae. The record is from RNAcentral.